AGGAUGAACGCUGGCGGCGUGCCUAAUACAUGCAAGUCGAGCGGUAAGGCCCCUUCGGGGGUACACGAGCGGCGGACGGCUGAGUAACACGUAGGAACGUACCCCAAACUGAGGGAUAAGCACCAGAAAUGGUGUCUAAUACCGCAUGUGGUCUUCGGAUUAAAGCUUCGGCGGUUUGGGAACGGCCUGCGCAUGAUUAGCUUGUUGGUGAGGUAAAAGCUUACCAAGGCGACGAUCAUUAGCUGGUCUGAGAGGAUGAUCAGCCAGACUGGGACUGAGAACGGCCCAGACUCCUACGGGAGGCAGCAGUAGGGAAUUUUCCACAAUGGGCGAAAGCCUGAUGGAGCAACGCCGCGUGCAGGACGAAGGCCUUCGGGUUGUAAACUGCUUUUAUAUGUGAAGAUUAUGACGGUAGCAUAUGAAUAAAGAUCGGCUAACUCCGCGCCGCAGCCGC
This 454-nucleotide ribosomal RNA is filed under the name uncultured bacterium. RNAcentral describes it as "SSU rRNA". It matches the Rfam family "Bacterial small subunit ribosomal RNA", at positions 26 to 518 of the family's 1533-position model. The record is from RNAcentral.